UUUUGCCUCAUCAAACAGGCGCACACCACAUUUGAACAAACAAAUACAAAUCUUUGAAGCACUAGGGGGGUAACCAUUGCACAUGACUUCAUGUGUGCCUUCAUCAUAGAAAAAUAGACUGAAUAUCGCCAAGUUCUAAGGUUGAAUAAAUGAAUCAUAUAGAAUAUUGUCAAAACCCCACAUUUUUCUCACUAAAACAAACUUAUGUACUUGCAUACAACCCUCUUUGAACUUGUAUGGCACCUAGUGCUCAACUUGGACGAUGACCAGUGGUCAACUCGAACAGAGGAGCUUCCAUUACAGUGGAGAAGACAUUGACAUGCACUGGAGCUUUGGCGUGCUAGAGUGAUACACUUCGCGCCUAACUCAAUGUCACGGUACCCUGCACACACACCAGCCAACAAUUAACCACGUUGACUAUUUGAACUGUAUGAAAUUUAGAAAUUGAACUAACAAAAGAAACUAGACGCCAUAGGUACAUCAAAUAAAAAACUAGAGUAGUUAGUACCAACUACUAAACUAAUGUCUUGGAUAUUCAAAAAUUAAACGCAUCAAAAGAAAAAAAUACAUGUUUUAUGCUCUCAAACUCUUGCAUAUAUAUUUGAACUGAUGGUUUCUCUCAUUGAACAUUACUGCCUCGCAAGUAUGAACUAUGCGAACUUUAUUCUGGCCGAACUAUUACAAAUUUUCUAUACAGUGAACUACCAUACAAUAUAAAACUGAUUUUUUUUAACACAACACUGCACUGAUUCAACUUUCCAUUAUGAACUGAUGAUAAAAUACAUACUGGGCUGCUACACUAGUAGCAAAUUCAUGAAUACAUGACAUUUUUUCUUUUAUGGAGACAUACAUUUGUACCUUUUAAACAAUUAUACUUGUACUACCACAAAAAAUGAAGCAUAUGUACACAAGCAAACAACAUUAGUACACAAGCAGUGUGGUUGAAAUUAGACACCUCAGUACAAGCAAGCAAUGUUCAUCUAUUAGUAUCAUACUACAGGUGGAAGUAGACUGAACCGUGUCACUUUCAGUAGCAGACACGAAGCAAAUUAUUAUUUUCGAACUGAUGAUGAAACACAUAGUGAACGAUUACACAUAGUGUAUGUUUUAGUUGUACAAACAUGGGAAGAUACUAUGUUCACAUCCUUUCUGCAACUUCGUAUCCAGAGAGUGGAAGAAGACAAAAUUGGAUUCAACUUAUGAAUUUGAUUUUCGUGUUGCACCAACAUGCUUCAUAACCGAAUCCGAAUGGGGUAACGCAAUAUGCAACAAUGGAAAUUUUGGAUAGAUAACCAUAUGACAUCCAAUCUACAUACAUGGAAAAUUGGGAAUCUAGUUGCAGCCUACAUGACUCACCGCAUAUAGGGCACACUCAUCUUCCAUGCCGCCAAAGCGAGUGCUAGCCUGCCAAGAAAAUGGCCGUUGGGGUUCGACUCUCCGAUGUCCUAGGCGGAGGAGGCUUCGUCUCUCACUUGCCCUCUCUGUUUGGUUUGCUGCCACCCGACUAGAGCAUUGCAGUGCAGCCAAAGAAUUCCCAUAAUAUACAUAAGCAAACCACAAAUGCUAACAAUAUGCAUUUUUUAGGUUACCAAGACAUCAGU
RNAcentral lists this long non-coding RNA (1601 nucleotides) under Triticum aestivum (bread wheat). RNAcentral's name for it is "long non-coding RNA (TAES_LNC020712)". The record is from RNAcentral. Lineage: Eukaryota; Viridiplantae; Streptophyta; Magnoliopsida; Poales; Poaceae.